RNAcentral lists this ribosomal RNA (503 nucleotides) under uncultured bacterium. RNAcentral's name for it is "partial 16S ribosomal RNA". It matches the Rfam family "Bacterial small subunit ribosomal RNA", at positions 30 to 523 of the family's 1533-position model. The record is from RNAcentral.
AUUGAACGCUGGCGGCAGGCUUAACACAUGCAAGUCGAGCGGAGUGAUGGUGCUUGCACUAUCACUUAGCGGCGGACGGGUGAGUAAUGCUUAGGAAUCUGCCUAUUAGUGGGGGACAACAUCUCGAAAGGGAUGCUAAUACCGCAUACGUCAUACGGGAGAAAGCAGGGGAUCACUUGUGACCUUGCGCUAAUAGAUCAGCCUAGUUCGGAUUAGCUAGUUGGUGGGGUAAAGGCCUACCAAGGCGACGAUCUGUAGCGGGUCUGAGAGGAUGAUCCGCCACACUGGGACUGAGACACGGCCCAGACUCCUACGGGAGGCAGCAGUGGGGAAUAUUGGACAAUGGGGGGAACCCUGAUCCAGCCAUGCCGCGUGUGUGAAGAAGGCCUUAUGGUUGUAAAGCACUUUAAGCGAGGAGGAGGCUCUUUUGGUUAAUACCCAAGAUGAGUGGACGUUACUCGCAGAAUAAGCACCGGCUAACUCUGUGCCAGCCGCCGCCGUAA